AGCCAUGGCCAUAUAACCCUGCAGUUCAAGACUAGUAACUCACUGAAGCUAAGCAGGGCUUGAGCCUGGUUAGUACCUGGAUGGGAGACCACAUGGAAAAACCGGGUAGCUGUUGAAA
Molecule: ribosomal RNA, 118 nt
Organism: Danio rerio (zebrafish)
Lineage: Eukaryota; Metazoa; Chordata; Actinopteri; Cypriniformes; Danionidae
Source: Ensembl